RNAcentral lists this transfer RNA (72 nucleotides) under Ancylostoma ceylanicum. It matches the Rfam family "tRNA". Rfam says of the family: Transfer RNA (tRNA) molecules are approximately 80 nucleotides in length. Their secondary structure includes four short double-helical elements and three loops (D, anti-codon, and T loops). Further hydrogen bonds mediate the characteristic L-shaped molecular structure. tRNAs have two regions of fundamental functional importance: the anti-codon, which is responsible for specific mRNA codon recognition, and the 3' end, to which the tRNAs corresponding amino acid is attached (by aminoacyl-tRNA synthetases). tRNAs cope with the degeneracy of the genetic code in two manners: having more than one tRNA (with a specific anti-codon) for a particular amino acid; and 'wobble' base-pairing, i.e. permitting non-standard base-pairing at the 3rd anti-codon position. The record is from Rfam by way of RNAcentral. Lineage: Eukaryota; Metazoa; Nematoda; Chromadorea; Rhabditida; Ancylostomatidae.
GCCUCAUUGGCUCAGGGGCAGAGCGUCUGUCUAGUAAACAGAAGGUCGCUGGUUCGAUUCCAGCAUGGGGCA